UACGUAGGGUGCAAGCGUUGUCCGGAAUUAUUGGGCGUAAAGAGCUCGUAGGCGGUUUGUCGCGUCUGCUGUGAAAACUCGGGGCUUAACCCCGGGCCUGCAGUGGGUACGGGCAGACUAGAGUGCGGUAGGGGAGACUGGAAUUCCUGGUGUAGCGGUGAAAUGCGCAGAUAUCAGGAGGAACACCGGUGGCGAAGGCGACUACCUGGCCUGUUCUUGACGCUGAGGCGCGAAAGCUGGGGGAGCAAACGGG
RNAcentral lists this ribosomal RNA (253 nucleotides) under uncultured bacterium. Its description in RNAcentral is "partial 16S ribosomal RNA". It matches the Rfam family "Bacterial small subunit ribosomal RNA", at positions 524 to 776 of the family's 1533-position model. The record is from RNAcentral.